UAAAAGCAGUGAAAUUCCAGGGAGCACA
This 28-nucleotide non-coding RNA is filed under the name Rattus norvegicus (Norway rat). Lineage: Eukaryota; Metazoa; Chordata; Mammalia; Rodentia; Muridae. The record is from RNAcentral.